UUGACUAAAAGUUAUUAUGCAUUUAUCAUUGUUGUUUUAUAAUAUUCCUACAUGAACUUACUAGAUAGAUCACAGGAUCAGAUAAUGUAAUAUUCACUUAACUAGUUGUUAUGUUUUGGUGCAAUGCUCCACUCUACGUGUAUACUUCUUGUGUUUCUCCUUCUUUUGGUGAAAGAUGUGUUUUUGCAAAACACAAUUUAAUUCUAAAGUUUGAUGGGAAAAAAGAGUGAAAUGAUUGUGUGUUUAUACCUGGGAGACAAUUAUCUUAUUUAUAGAGUGGCUAAAAUUUAAUAUGUUCCAUGCAAUUGAUAUUUCCUCUCUGGUGAUCUCUUGAAUAUCAAGUGAAAAAUUAUGUGUUGAUUUUUUUAUUAAAACCCAUUUUGAGAUAGGUUUUAUUAACUAUUUAGUUUUAAUAAAAUCCAUAGAUAUCAAAAUAGUGUGAACACGUCGUUGCUCAAAGAAGUGCGGAAAAUAAAAUUUUUGGUUUUCAGGGAUGACCUCAGAUUCAACUUAUCGCGGUGUGCCAUGUUCAUAAACUGAGGUAGACAUGUCAAAUUUCGUGGCAUUGGUGUUUGAAAUUCUUCAUGUUUUGUACUUUGAGUUGUAGAUUUUCUUAGUAAACGAUCCAUAAUAUAUUUGAGUUGGGAUACUUAGGAUCAUACAUUUAAACAAGUACCCAAACCCUUUUGAUGUUUAAUAAGUAUUCGGUUUAAAAAGUAUUUAAAAAAUUAAAAAAUUGAAUGUUUUACUAGAUGGAAUUUAUC
This 764-nucleotide long non-coding RNA is filed under the name Lathyrus oleraceus (garden pea). Its description in RNAcentral is "Pisum sativum (pea) long non-coding RNA (PSAT_LNC019335)". The record is from RNAcentral. Lineage: Eukaryota; Viridiplantae; Streptophyta; Magnoliopsida; Fabales; Fabaceae.